UAGUGCCAUUAUAAAUAGGACCCCAAGAGCUCCCUCCCCUUCUUUCUGCCAUAUGAGAAUAGGACAAGAGUGUCCCAGUCUGUAAUCUUAAAGAGGGUUCUCACUAGAACCUGACUGUGCUUGCAGCCUGAUUUCAGUUCAGUCUCCACAACUGUGAGGAAUACAUCUUUGUUGUUUAUAAGACAUCCACUGUUAUUCUGUUAUAGCAGCUUGAGCAAGGAGAAAGCCUCCUACCUGAAUGCUUUGAGCUGGGACAUCGGUCUCUUCCUUGCUUCAGUCCAGUACUGAGACAUCAGCUCUUCUCAGUUUCGAGUCACCAGCCUUUGGACCUGCAGCUACACCAUCGACUCUCCUGCUUCUCAGGCCUUUGGACUUGGACUGCAACUCACAUUAUUCAUUCUCCUGGGUCUUUGGCUGGCUGACUGCUAAUCUGCAGACUUAGCCUCUGUAAUCAUAAUAUUGCCACCAGUUCAGCAAGACUCCCAUCACCUCGUUAUGGAUGAGUUUGCUAGCAUGGGAGAUCUGGGUGCCUGCUGCGGGGGCAGAGGAAAGACUGAGGUCCCAGGAGGUCGAUGUUACACCAACUUGGAGAAGAUGUUGUUCUUUGCA
This is a non-coding RNA of Odocoileus virginianus texanus, 609 nucleotides long. The record is from RefSeq and is a predicted model, not a curated record. NCBI's taxonomy places the organism in Eukaryota, Metazoa, Chordata, Mammalia, Artiodactyla, Cervidae.